CAACGGUUCACGUGCUCGAUGGACUACAAACUCUGAGAAGCACGUGUAUGGCAAGCAUGGAUGCUAAAGAGAAUAGCUCAACGGAUGCUGUAAAAAGUACCAUGAAAGCCAGCCUGGAGGAGGGAGUCGUCCAGUCAAGUCUAGCGUCCACCGUGACUCUGCCAGCCCAGACCAUUCCAAACCCGGAGAAAAGCCAAGACCAGAACGUCAGAGAAACAUGGGACAAAAAAAUAGAAUUUCUACUAGCCGUGAUCGGGUUCGCUGUGGACCUGGGAAAUGUUUGGCGGUUCCCUUACAUAUGUUAUCGAAAUGGUGGAGGAGCGUUUUUAAUACCAUAUGUAAUCAUGUUAGUAUUUGGAGGACUUCCCCUAUUUUACCUGGAGUUAGCUCUGGGUCAGUACUACCGCAGUGGUUGCAUAACAAUCUGGAGCAAGUUGUGUCCGAUCAUGAAAGGGAUAGGCUACGCCAUCUGUGUUAUUGACCUAUAUAUGGCCAUGUAUUACAAUACCAUUAUCUGCUGGGCCGUUUACUAUCUGUUCUCGUCCUUCACAUCCGAGCUGCCAUGGACCAAGUGUGACAAUUCCUGGAACACAAACAACUGUCAAACCCUUGCGGAGAGGGCAGUCAACGUAUCCAACAUGUCGACAAGUCCAGCUCAGGAAUUCUUUGAACGCAACGUGCUACAGAUACAAAACGCGAAAGGAGUUGACUAUAUUGGACCAGUAAAAUGGUCUCUUGCACUGUGCCUAAUGGCUGUCUUCGUUUUAGUAUAUUUCUCAUUAUGGAAAGGCGUUAAAAGUUCUGGAAAGGCCGUCUGGUUUACUGCUACUAUGCCAUAUGUUGUCUUGUUUAUCCUGUUCUUUCGUGGUAUAACACUAGAUGGCGCUCUGGAUGGCAUCGUGUUUUAUCUUUCACCACAAUGGGACAAAUUGGCAAAAGCCGAGGUGUGGAUUGAUGCAGCGACUCAAAUCUUCUUUUCUCUUGGUCCAGGUUUUGGUACCCUACUUGCUCUGUCAAGUUAUAAUACUUUUCAUAAUAACUGUUACAGGGAUGCUAUAUUUACCAGCAGUAUCAACUGUGUUACAAGCUUCCUAGCUGGGUUUGUUAUUUUCUCAGUUUUAGGCUAUAUGGCCCACAUGUCGCAGAGAGACAUCCAGACCGUCGCUACUGAUGGGCCAGGCCUUGUAUUUGUGGUAUAUCCGGAAGCAAUAGCAACUAUGAAAGGUUCCGUGUUUUGGUCAAUCCUGUUCUUCAUCAUGUUAAUAACGUUGGGUCUAGACAGCACGUUUGGCGGUCUAGAAGCCAUGAUAACAGGACUGUGCGAUGAAUAUCCCACUGUACUACGUCGACAUCGAGAAAUAUUCGUUGGAGUUUUGAUUCUAUUUAUUUAUCUGUGUGCUCUACCAACUACAACAUACGGUGGUAGCUAUGUAGUAAACUUACUGGACUCCUACGGUACAUCGAUGUCCGUUUUGUUUGUCGUCUUUGUGGAGGCAGCCACAGUUUGCUGGUUUUAUGGAGCCCAGCGGUUUUCGGAACAAGUACAGAAAAUGCUGGGAUUUAGACCUGGGAUCUUUUGGAGGCUCUGCUGGACCUAUGUCAGCCCAAUUUUUAUACUCGGCAUCUUCCUGUUCGCUAUGAUUCAUUAUAAGGACUUAGAAUGGGAGGAUUACCAAUAUCCAAAGUGGUCCAUAACUGUUGGUUGGCUGUUAACAGUUUCGUCCUUGUCAUGUAUCCCGAUAUAUAUGAUAUAUCGCAUCAUAAUUACACCUGGAACCUUCACCCAGAGAGUGAUUGAUGCUUUCCAACCCGAGAAGCCCGGAGUAAAUCAAGAACAUGAGAGUCUACCAAUCAACGCCUGUUACACAAGUGUAUGAAGAAGCUACAUGGACUUCAUGUUGCUGUAUAAAAACUAGUGCUCUGCUACUUAGCCUACUCUGUCCUUGAAGUCAGGUACAAUUUAUGUCGGUGAAAUAUGCAUACAUUUCAUUUAUUUGUGUUUGUUAGGCUUAACCCGAUCAUGGAUAUAAAACUUUGAGUUGUUUUCUGUUUUCACAUACCAUGCCAUGUUGAACUAUACAACAGCUUUAAAUGCAGGUCGUUAUAUCAAAUGUUCAUUAGUUUAAUAAUAAAGUUGACAAUAUAUUGUGUAAAAUGUGUCACACCACACUGAUAUUAAUUUGCUUAAAGAACGUUUCGAAUUUUCUAAAUAUGCGAAGAACUUCUAUUCUUGGUCAUUUUUGUUUUUAUGCUUUUGAUACUUUAUGAUAAACGUACAAUAAAUGUUGGUUUCUUUUAUUAUUGUAUGAUAUACAUUGUUAAAAUCUAAGAGGUGGUAAAACAUUGUCAAAUUAAGUAGGUGUAUCAUUCCCAGUUAUCAUUACAAUUGUUAGUUUAGGAAAGUGCGUUACUUCCGGUUUUUUACCUCUGUUGUUUGAUGAAACAGGGUCAUCACAUCCGGAUUCUCACUACUACUAUUAGUUUAGGAAAGUAGAUUACUUCUGAUUUUCACUAUUGUUGUUGAAUUAGGUAGGUAUGUCGCUUCUAGUUUAUCAUCACUGUUGUUCCACUAGAUAGGUGCAUCACUUCCGAUUUAUCACCACUGUUGUUGGAUUAGAUAGGUGCAUCACUUCCGGUAUAUCACCACUGUUGCUGGAUUAGGUAGUGUGCCACUUUCGAUAUAUCACAACUGUUGUUGGAUUAGAUAGGUUUAUCAACACUGUUCUGGAUUAGGCAGUGUGCCACUUUCGAUAUAUCACCACUGUUGUUUGAUGAAGCGUUUGUUAUACCCGUUGUUUUCCCAUUACUGUUUAAAUGAGAGAGGCGUGUCACUCGGAAAACGCUAUUGCCAAUGGUGUGACUACAAAAAGGUGCCCCCCCCCCGUAUAAAAAUUAAUUUACAUUUAUUCCCCUUGUCGGCAAUUCUUAAGUUUUUCAGGCCCCUUUUGGCUCGAAUCUUCCUGCAAUUGCAGGGGCAUACUUACGCUGCUGGCUGUUGCUGUUGCGAAUUGAGAGUAUAAGUCAUUUUCGAUAUUAUCUUCAAUUUAAGCAAACAUUUUACUUCCGGUAACUUGCAUAUAAAUGUCACUUUCGUUGUGUGUUUAGAGAAAGUACAAAUGUCGUUCUUGGUUCAUGAGAGAUGAUACAAGAUGCCUCUUCUCUAUCACUGCUAUUGGGAUUAGGUGGGACAUUUCUUUCCUUUCCAGAGUUAAUAGGUUAAACAGAUGCAUCAUUUCUGGUGGAAAUCAUAUUUUGUAAAAUGUGCAAAUUAUGUCACUUUUGUCUUUAAUAGAAGUCUAACAUACGCAUGCCCUCUAGUAAGUAGAUGUAAUUGAAUCGUUAUCAAGAGAUCGUAUGCAGUAAUGAAGUUCAACAGUGGUAACACUAUAGUCAACAAUCAGGUCACAUGGUGGUAAUCAAGUUAAUCCCACUCUAGUAAGUAGUUAUAAUCGAAUCGUUAUCUCGCUGUAAUAUGCAGCAAUGAAGUUCAACAGUGGUAAAACUAUAGUCAACAAUCAGGUCACAUGGUGGUAAUCAAGUUAAUCACACUCUAGUAAGUAGUUAUAAUCGAAUCGUUAUCUCGCUGUAAUAUGCAGCAAUGAAGUUCAACAGUGGUAAAACUAUAGUCAACAAUCAGGUCACAUGGUGGUAAUCAAGUUAAUCACACUCUAGUAAGUAGUUAUAAUCGAAUCGUUAUCUCGCGGUAAUAUGCAGUAAUGAAGUUCAACAGUGGUAACACUAUAGUCAACAAUCAGGUCACAUGGUGGUAAUCAAGUUAAUCACGCUGGUGAGUGAUCACAUAUCAGUUUACAACACAGUAUUAAGUUACUUAAUGGUCAUAAUGUCGUUCCUUAAGUAAAUAUUGCAGGUAACUGUAUCUCUGUAGCUAUGAGCUGCGAAAGUAGUAAACGAUUUGGAUUGAGAGUGUUUUGUUGUCAACAAUGUUUAAAUGUAUCAGUAAAAUUAAGUAUUUAAAACAAAUUAUUCAGUAAUGUUGCACAAUACAGGAAUUGUAUCACAGUUUUGAUUGUUUAUCUUUAUAAUAUUUACAUUUAAUAACUUUUGUAUGUCUUGAAGACAAACGUUUUCGUUUUUUACCAUGUAAUACGAUAAUUAGGAUAAUAUUCUUAUAACUAUGUUCUGGAGACAGAUGUUCUCAUUAUGAUAUUUACCAUACUCUACGAUAUCUACCAUAUUAUUUUAACAACUUUGUUCUGGAAAUAGAUGUUAUGUUGUCAUUAUAACAUUUACAAUGUUUUUCGUAUCUAGCAUACUAUUUAAUAACUUUUGUUUUGGAGACAGAUAUCGUCAUUAUAACAUUUACCAUGUUUUUGGUAUCUAGCAUACUAUUUAAUAACUUUUGUUUUGGAGACAGAUGUCGUCAUUAUAACAUUUACCAUGUUUUUUGGUAUUUAGCGUAAUAUUGUAAUAACUUUUGUUUUGGAGACAGAUGUCGUCAUUAUAACAUUUACCAUGUUUUUUGGUAUUUAGCGUAAUAUUGUAAUAACUUUUGUUUUGGAUACAGAUGUCGUCAUUAUAACAUUUACAAUGUUUUUCGUAUCUAGCAUACUAUUUAAUAACUUUUGUUUUGGAGACAGAUGUCGUCAUUAAAACAUUUACCAUGUUUUUUGGUAUUUAGCGUAAUAUUGUAAUAACUUGUUUUGGAGACAGAUGUCGUCAUUAUAACAUUUACCAUGUUUUAUGGUAUUUAGCGUAAUAUUGUAAUAACUUUCGUACGUUCUAGAGACUAAUGUCUCUGUUUAUUAUGCCCUACAAUAUUUAGUACAGCACGGAAGAAGCUAUUGGACGCACCCUAGACAAACCUUCUAAAACUAAUUAUGUUGUAUAAUGGAACAAAAAAUGUUUUCUUAUUACAAGUUUAUUUAAGUUAAUUAUACAAACUGUAACAAGAACAGUAAGUGAGGGUGAAUUGUUUUUGUCAACUGUUUCAAACCAGUUGGAUUGUAUAUCCACUUGUUUAAUUAUAUCUUAAGUCCAAACAGAUGUGUUAGAAGUUUAUUUUGUAUUUAAUACAAUACGUUAUUUC
Molecule: unclassified non-coding RNA, 5047 nt
Filed under: Limulus polyphemus (Atlantic horseshoe crab)
Lineage: Eukaryota; Metazoa; Arthropoda; Merostomata; Xiphosura; Limulidae
Description: sodium-dependent serotonin transporter-like, transcript variant X1
Source: RNAcentral